Molecule: microRNA precursor, 103 nt
Filed under: Marmota monax (woodchuck)
Lineage: Eukaryota; Metazoa; Chordata; Mammalia; Rodentia; Sciuridae
Source: RNAcentral
AGAGGGAUAGCUGGGUCAAAUGGUGGUUUCAUUCCCAAUUUUCCAAGAAACCUCCAUAUUGCUUUCCAUAUUUGCUGUACCAAUUUGCAGUCCCACCAGCAGU